UACGAAGGGGGCUAGCGUUGUUCGGAAUCACUGGGCGUAAAGGGCGCGUAGGCGGCCUGAUAAGUCGGGGGUGAAAGCCUGUGGCUCAACCACAGAACUGCCUUCGAUACUGGGAGUCUCGAGUCCGGGAGAGGUGAGUGGAACUGCGAGUGUAGAGGUGAAAUUCGUAGAUAUUCGCAAGAACACCAGUGGCGAAGGCGGCUCACUGGCCCGGUACUGACGCUGAGGUGCGAAAGCGUGGGGAGCAAACAGG
RNAcentral lists this ribosomal RNA (253 nucleotides) under uncultured bacterium. Its description in RNAcentral is "partial 16S ribosomal RNA". It matches the Rfam family "Bacterial small subunit ribosomal RNA", at positions 524 to 776 of the family's 1533-position model. The record is from RNAcentral.